GAUGAACGCUGGCGGCGUGCCUAAUACAUGCAAGUCGAGCGAACAGACGAGGAGCUUGCUCCUCUGACGUUAGCGGCGGACGGGUGAGUAACACGUGGAUAACCUACCUAUAAGACUGGGAUAACUUCGGGAAACCGGAGCUAAUACCGGAUAAUAUAUUGAACCGCAUGGUUCAAUAGUGAAAGACGGUUUUGCUGUCACUUAUAGAUGGAUCCGCGCCGCAUUAGCUAGUUGGUAAGGUAACGGCUUACCAAGGCAACGAUGCGUAGCCGACCUGAGAGGGUGAUCGGCCACACUGGAACUGGGACACGGUCCAGACUCCUACGGGAGGCAGCAGUAGGGUAUCUUCCGCAAUGGGCGAAAGCCUGACGGAGCAACGCCGCGUGAGUGAUGAAGGUCUUCGGAUCGUAAAACUCUGUUAUUAGGGAAGAACAAAUGUGUAAGUAACUAUGCACGUCUUGACGGUACCUAAUCAGAAAGCCCCGGCUAACUACGUG
Molecule: ribosomal RNA, 497 nt
Filed under: uncultured bacterium
Lineage: Bacteria
Description: partial 16S ribosomal RNA
Rfam family: Bacterial small subunit ribosomal RNA
Source: RNAcentral